Molecule: ribosomal RNA, 1465 nt
Filed under: metagenome
Description: bacterial SSU rRNA
Rfam family: Bacterial small subunit ribosomal RNA
Source: RNAcentral
AGAGUUUGAUCCUGGCUCAGGAUAAACGCUGGCGGCGUGCUUAACACAUGCAAGUCGAACGAAGUUUUUCCUUCGGGAGAAACUUAGUGGCGGACGGGUGAGUAACGCGUGGGUAACCUGCCCUGUACAGGGGGACAACAGCUGGAAACGGCUGCUAAUACCGCAUAAGCCCUUAGCACUGCGUGGUGCAUAGGGAAAAGGAGCAAUCCGGUACAGGAUGGACCCGCGUCUGAUUAGCCAGUUGGCAGGGUAACGGCCUACCAAAGCGACGAUCAGUAGCCGAUCUGAGGGGAUGUACGGCCACAUUGGGACUGAGACACGGCCCAGACUCCUACGGGAGGCAGCAGUGGGGAAUAUUGCACAAUGGAGGAAACUCUGAUGCAGCGACGCCGCGUGAGUGAAGAAGUAUUUCGGUAUGUAAAGCUCUAUCAGCAGGGAAGAAAAUGACGGUACCUGACUAAGAAGCACCGGCUAAAUACGUGCCAGCAGCCGCGGUAAUACGUAUGGUGCAAGCGUUAUCCGGAUUUACUGGGUGUAAAGGGAGCGUAGGUGGCAAGGCAAGCCAGAAGUGAAAACCCGGGGCUCAACCGCGGGAUUGCUUUUGGAACUGUCAUGCUAGAGUGCAGGAGGGGUGAGCGGAAUUCCUAGUGUAGCGGUGAAAUGCGUAGAUAUUAGGAGGAACACCGGAGGCGAAGGCGGCUCACUGGACUGUAACUGACACUGAGGCUCGAAAGCGUGGGGAGCAAACAGGAUUAGAUACCCUGGUAGUCCACACUGUAAAUGAUGAUUACUAGGUGUUGGAGGAUUGACCCCUUCAGUGCCGCAGUUAACACAAUAAGUAAUCCACCUGGGGAGUACGACCGCAAGGUUGAAACUCAAAGGAAUUGACGGGGGCCCGCACAAGCAGUGGAGUAUGUGGUUUAAUUCGACGCAACGCGAAGAACCUUACCAAGUCUUGACAUCCUGCGACGCACAUAGAAAUAUGUGUUUCCUUCGGGACGCAGAGACAGGUGGUGCAUGGUUGUCGUCAGCUCGUGUCGUGAGAUGUUGGGUUAAGUCCCGCAGCGAGCGCAACCCUUAUGGUCAGUUACUACGCAAGAGGACUCUGACCAGACUGCCGUUGACAAAACGGAGGAAGGUGGGGAUGACGUCAAAUCAUCAUGCCCUUUAUGACUUGGGCUACACACGUACUACAAUGGCGUUAAACAAAGAGAAGCAAGACCGCGAGGUGGAGCAAAACUCAGAAACAACGUCCCAGUUCGGACUGCAGGCUGCAACUCGCCUGCACGAAGUCGGAAUUGCUAGUAAUCGCAGAUCAGCAUGCUGCGGUGAAUACGUUCCCGGGCCUUGUACACACCGCCCGUCACACCAUGAGAGCCGGGGGGACCCGAAGUCGGCAGUCUAACCGCAAGGAGGACGCCGCCGAAGGUAAAACUGGUGAUUGGGGUGAAGUCGUAACAAGGUA